GUGCCAGCAGCCGCGGUAAUACGAAUGGGGCAAGCGUUGUUCGGAUUUACUGGGCGUAAAGCGGGCGUAGGCGGCCGGCUAAGUCGGAUGUGAAAUCCCGGGGCUCAACUCCGGAACUGCAUUCGAUACUGGUCGGCUAGAGUUCGAGAGGGGGAUGCGGAAUUCCGCGUGUAGCAGUGAAAGGCGUAGAUAUGCGGAGGAACACCUGAGGCGAAGGCGGCAUCCUGGAUCGACACUGACGCUGAGGCCCGAAAGCGUGGGGAGCAAACAGGAUUAGAUACCCUGGUAGUCCACGCCGUAAACGAUGGAUACUCGGUGUCAGCCCUUGUGGGUUGGUGCCUAAGCGAAAGCGAUAAGUAUCCCACCUGGGGAGUACGCCGGCAACGGUGAAACUUAAAGGAAUUGACGGGG
This 411-nucleotide ribosomal RNA is filed under the name uncultured prokaryote. RNAcentral's name for it is "bacterial SSU rRNA". It matches the Rfam family "Bacterial small subunit ribosomal RNA", at positions 505 to 918 of the family's 1533-position model. The record is from RNAcentral.